Perognathus longimembris pacificus (Pacific pocket mouse) is the source of this 1520-nucleotide long non-coding RNA. RefSeq lists it as uncharacterized. Lineage: Eukaryota; Metazoa; Chordata; Mammalia; Rodentia; Heteromyidae. The record is from RefSeq and is a predicted model, not a curated record. The transcript is spliced from 2 exons.
UUUGCUUUUACAGUCAACUCAACCCAAAGAUAUUUACUGGAAUUGUCUAGAAUAAAGAGCAGUAUAUCUUUUCAUUUUUUAGUAGUUAAACAGUUCUGGCUAUAUUGUUUAACAUCUCUAAUUUGUCACACAUUUUUCUGUUUUUAACCAUGUUGUAUUUGAAUUGCUAGGUAUUUUAAAUGGGAGCUGAGAAUAGCCCAACUGAAAAUGAAACAAGAUAAGGAAAGUUACUUUCAUUAAGAGCUUGGCUAAGUCUCCUGUAGGCUGGAAUAUCAAAAUAUACUUGUAAUAUAUGAUAAUGCCUUCAAUGAAAACCACUGAAGGACAUCAUUUAAAAGUAAAUUUUAUGCAACAAUGUUCCAGUUGCUUUAAAUGUAUUUAGUAUUCCUCAGAGUGACUCUCAGUCAAGGUCAAUAGAAGAAAACCAUCAGAGAAUACAUAUAUGCAAUUAUUUUCCCAGUUACUGUUAUAAAUAUGGCAAACAGUAAAGCUUUUUUGUGACAAAUUAUUUCCUGAGAAGAGCAUUGUAAGCUGUCUGUCUGUCUAUCUGUCUGUCUGUAUGUUUACAAUGUUACUCAACAAAACGAGAUGUUUGGGGUUUAAAAUAUCUGGUAGUACAAAUUGAGACAGGAAAUGAAUAGGAAAAAAGAAAAACGAAUGGAACAGAGGAUUCUAGUUAUCAUGGGAGGUAGGAUGAAAGGUGGUGACACCCUGUUUUAGAAGAAAACCAAAAAUAACAGAGAGUUGCCAGGAAGAAUAGCAAGCACAAGUGCAACAAGGGCCAACAGAGAUGUACCAGGACUAUACCAGAGUUCAGAGAACAGUGGUCCAAAAAGGAAACAGAUACAAGCUAGUGAAAAUUAGAAAGUUAAAAUGCACUUAAUAGAAAAACCCUCAACAAAAGCAGGCCAAUCAAUAAGAGGAGAUUGGGCUUGAUGCAAAAUGGACCAGGCAGAUGGACUCACUGGGGAGCACAUUCCUAUUUUUAAUCAUGAGUUAAAGGUCCUGGCAGGUAUCUGUGUUAGAUUACACUCAUCAUCUAAGUGUUAGGUUCACCUACAUCAGAAUGACUACUCAUGGAUGUACCAGAAAGCAGAAAAGAGGCAUCUAACACAUACACACACACACACACACACACACACACACACACACACACACACACACACAAUCUACCACAUUUAGUAUACUUUGAGUUUGCCCACAAAUCACUCCUACCUAUUAAAUCUAGCCAGGCAACAGAUCACCAUUCGACUGUACUGUCUUGAGCUUGAGGAUAUAAAUAGUAACCACUAAUUAAAUUAUAUCUAUAUAUAUUUGCCAGUGUUUUUUCUAUGUAAAACUAAACCAAUUAUCCAAUUAAAACCUAGCUCCCCUAAUUCCUGAAAGGAACAUUCUAGAAGGAAAACCAUGGUAACUUGGUCUUCCAAUGGGUGAAAGAUCCUCAUAGAUACAGAGGCAGUAGACACCAACACUAUACAUUAUCCACAAUAAUAAAUUAAUUAAUUUUAAAAGCUAUGGCU